This 119-nucleotide transfer RNA is filed under the name Caudoviricetes sp. RNAcentral describes it as "tRNA-Thr". It matches the Rfam family "tRNA". Rfam says of the family: Transfer RNA (tRNA) molecules are approximately 80 nucleotides in length. Their secondary structure includes four short double-helical elements and three loops (D, anti-codon, and T loops). Further hydrogen bonds mediate the characteristic L-shaped molecular structure. tRNAs have two regions of fundamental functional importance: the anti-codon, which is responsible for specific mRNA codon recognition, and the 3' end, to which the tRNAs corresponding amino acid is attached (by aminoacyl-tRNA synthetases). tRNAs cope with the degeneracy of the genetic code in two manners: having more than one tRNA (with a specific anti-codon) for a particular amino acid; and 'wobble' base-pairing, i.e. permitting non-standard base-pairing at the 3rd anti-codon position. Lineage: Duplodnaviria; Heunggongvirae; Uroviricota; Caudoviricetes. The record is from RNAcentral.
GGGGAUGUAGCUCAGUUGGUUAGAGCACGUAAAUAUUGAGGUUUGUGAAAAUCUCAAACAGCAAUAUACUUUUUGCUCUGGUAAAGCCGUGGUCGCAGGUUCAAUUCCUGCCGUCCCCA